This 300-nucleotide ribosomal RNA is filed under the name Triticum aestivum (bread wheat). RNAcentral's name for it is "partial small subunit ribosomal RNA". The record is from RNAcentral. Lineage: Eukaryota; Viridiplantae; Streptophyta; Magnoliopsida; Poales; Poaceae.
AUGCUCUUAUCCGGUGGCUAUUUGGGACUGGCCUUGGCACCAGCUACAGCGUUCAGUGGCCCGCUGGCUCCAUCACGCCAUCGUACAUGCUGGCCAAAGGGUGGCAUUUCUACUUCUUCCUCCCGACCAAGAUGCCUAAAGGGAGGCAGCUCAUCUUCUUCACAGAGUCUAUGGCCGGUGCCAUGGAAGCUUAGUUGUUCCAAGUGGCAAUGUCCCAGGCGACAGCGAGGAUACGGCCAUGCAGAAGAUGUCAAGGACCCGAUUGCUUUUCUUAUCUCGUUUUUGGGGUCCUCUUUGUAA